RNAcentral lists this ribosomal RNA (310 nucleotides) under uncultured eukaryote. RNAcentral describes it as "partial 18S ribosomal RNA". It matches the Rfam family "Eukaryotic small subunit ribosomal RNA", at positions 1470 to 1796 of the family's 1831-position model. The record is from RNAcentral.
CCCUUAGAUGUUCUGGGCGGCCCGCGCACUACAAUGGCGCUUUCAGCGAGUUCCUAUGUUGAAUUUUCCUUGGUAUUCUUGGAAGCGGCGUCUUGACUUGGGAUAGAUCCUUGUAAUUGUUGGUUUUGAACGAGGAAUUCCUUGUAAUCGCGGUUGAUCAGCUCGCGUUGAAUACGUCCCUGCCCUUUGUACACACCGCCCGUCGCUCCUACCGAUGAAUCGUCCGGUGAAGUUCACAGAGUGGCGGUUCGUGGAGUUGCUCGCGAAGUGAAAUGGGCCUCACGAUUUAGAGGAAGGAGAAGUCGUAACA